UAAGACGAAGGAUGCAAGCGUUAUCCGGAUUCAUUGGGUUUAAAGGGAGCGUAGGUGGUCUUAUAAGUCAGUGGUGAAAUCCUGUCGCUUAACGAUAGAAUUGCCAUUGAUACUGUAGGACUUGAGUACAGUUGCCGUUGGCGGAAUAUGACAUGUAGUGGUGAAAUACAUAGAUAUGUCAUAGAACACCGAUUGCGAAGGCAGCUGACGAAACUGUAACUGACACUGAGGCUCGAAAGUGUGGGGAUCAAACAGGAUUAGAUACCCUGGUAGUCCACACUGUAAACGAUGAUUACUCGCUGCUGGAGGGCAACCUUCAGUGGCUUAGCAAAAGCGAUAAGUAAUCCACCUGGGGAGUACGCCGGCAACGGUG
RNAcentral lists this ribosomal RNA (373 nucleotides) under uncultured bacterium. RNAcentral's name for it is "bacterial SSU rRNA". It matches the Rfam family "Bacterial small subunit ribosomal RNA", at positions 521 to 896 of the family's 1533-position model. The record is from RNAcentral.